GUGGAUUAGAUACCCUGGUAGUCCGCACCGUAAACGAUGAUUACUCGUUGUUGGCAAUAUGACCGUCAGCGACCAAGCGAAAGCGAUAAGUAAUCCACCUGGGGAGUACGCCGGCAACGGUGAAACUCAAAGGAAUUGACGGGGGCCCGCACAAGCGGAGGAGCAUGUGGUUUAAUUCGAUGAUACGCGAGGAACCUUACCUGGGCUUGAAAGUUAGUGACCGGUUCUGAAAGGAAUCUUUCCGCAAGGACACGAAACUAGGUGCUGCACGGUUGUCGACAACU
This 284-nucleotide ribosomal RNA is filed under the name uncultured bacterium. RNAcentral's name for it is "partial 16S ribosomal RNA". It matches the Rfam family "Bacterial small subunit ribosomal RNA", at positions 773 to 1060 of the family's 1533-position model. The record is from RNAcentral.